RNAcentral lists this ribosomal RNA (468 nucleotides) under uncultured bacterium. Its description in RNAcentral is "partial 16S ribosomal RNA". It matches the Rfam family "Bacterial small subunit ribosomal RNA", at positions 28 to 507 of the family's 1533-position model. The record is from RNAcentral.
GACGAACGCUGGCGGCGUGCUUAACACAUGCAAGUCGAACGGAAAGGCCCUCUUUUCUUGGUGUGCUCGAGUGGCGCACGGGUGCGUAACCGGUGAGUAACCUGACCUUGCCUCUGGGAUAACUUCAAGAAGCUGGGGCUAAUACCGGUAAGGCGCUCCUGCUGCAUGGUGGGGGUUGGAACGUGGAGGCGGAUUUGGAUGUACUCGCGGCUUAUCUGCAUGUUGGUGGGGUGGUGGAUUACCAAGGCUCUGACGGGUGGCCGGCCUGAGAGUGGGACCGGGCACAUGGGCACGGAGAUACGGGCCAGACUCCUACGGGAUGCAGGAGUGGGGAAUAUAGCACAAAGGGCGCAAGGCUGAUGCAGGAACGCCGCGUGCGGGAUUGCGGCCUUCGGGUUGUAGAGCGCAUCCGCCUGUGACGGAGGGUGAGUGACGGUAAUGGGUGAAGAAGCACCGGCUAACUACGUG